CCCAAGGCAUCAGGGAAGUUGAGAUCCAGCCCCAACUUCUAAAAAACUUAUCAAAAAUAUCAAAACAAAAGCCGGAGCCAAAGCAAAAUGCGGCUCCUAAAAAGAAUAAAAAGGAGCAGAAAAAUAAAGAAGCUCCCGAAAAGAAAAUCCAAGAAAAGAGGGACGAAGUCCCCAAACCCUCACAAAAGAAGACAGUGUGGAAGGUAAAAGAAAAAGUUGAACAAACCGCCACACUGCCCAAGGUGAUCCACCUAGAAUGGAAGCCCAACCAUCUUCUCCU
This 280-nucleotide long non-coding RNA is filed under the name Sorghum bicolor (sorghum). RNAcentral's name for it is "long non-coding RNA (SBIC_LNC017904)". The record is from RNAcentral. Lineage: Eukaryota; Viridiplantae; Streptophyta; Magnoliopsida; Poales; Poaceae.